CCAAUCUCUGUUUCUAUAACAAUUGUAACUACUUUUUUAUAACAAAGAUACUCAUCUACUAGAUUUUGGCAAAGUGGGAUGCAAACAAUUCCUAAACCCUGUCUCCAUUCGGCAGUGUUCUUGGAGAAUUUUACACUCAGUGAUCAUCAAACUCUGCAGUGGUGUCUUUUUCAGGAAGUUCGGUAGCAAAUGUAUCCAAAAGCAGGAGUCAAUCUCUAAGGAAUGAAGACAUGGCAUUAUUGUAAAGGAACUAUCUUUUUC
Molecule: long non-coding RNA, 261 nt
Filed under: Prunus persica (peach)
Lineage: Eukaryota; Viridiplantae; Streptophyta; Magnoliopsida; Rosales; Rosaceae
Description: long non-coding RNA (PPER_LNC003094)
Source: RNAcentral